AGUGAACGCUGGCGGUAGGCCUAACACAUGCAAGUCGAACGGCAGCACAGUAAGAGCUCGCUCUUACGGGUGGCGAGUGGCGGACGGGUGAGGAAUACAUCGGCAUCUACUUUUUCGUGGGGGAUAACGUAGGGAAACUUACGCUAAUACCGCAUACGACCUACGGGUGAAAUCAGGGGAUCUUCGGACCUUGCGCGAUUCAAUGAGCCGAUGUCGGAUUAGCUAGUUGGCAGGGUAAAGGCCUACCAAGGCGACGAUCCGUAGCUGAUCUGAGAGGAUGAUCAGCCACACUGGAACUGAGACACGGUCCAGACUCCUACGGGAGGCAGCAGUAGGGAAUAUUGGACAAUGGGCGAAAGCCUGACCCAGCCAUACCGCGUGAGUGAAGAAGGCCUUCGGAUUGUAAAACCCUUUUGUUGGGGAAGAAAAGCAGCAUAUUAAAACCCCGCUGUUCUGACGGUACCCAAAGAGUAAGCACCGGCUAACUUCGUG
RNAcentral lists this ribosomal RNA (492 nucleotides) under uncultured bacterium. Its description in RNAcentral is "partial 16S ribosomal RNA". It matches the Rfam family "Bacterial small subunit ribosomal RNA", at positions 29 to 507 of the family's 1533-position model. The record is from RNAcentral.